AACUUUUAACAACGGAUCUCUUGGUUCUCGCAUCAAUGAAGAACGUACAAAGUGCGAUAACUAGUGUGAAUUGCAUAUUCAGUGAAUCAUCAGUCUUUGAACGCAUCUUGCGCUCAUUGGUAUUCCAAUGAGCACGCCUGUUUCAGUA
This 148-nucleotide ribosomal RNA is filed under the name Mucor flavus. RNAcentral's name for it is "5.8S ribosomal RNA". It matches the Rfam family "5.8S ribosomal RNA". From Rfam's summary of the family: 5.8S ribosomal RNA (5.8S rRNA) is a component of the large subunit of the eukaryotic ribosome. It is transcribed by RNA polymerase I as part of the 45S precursor that also contains 18S and 28S rRNA. Lineage: Eukaryota; Fungi; Mucoromycota; Mucoromycetes; Mucorales; Mucoraceae. The record is from RNAcentral.